Salvia miltiorrhiza (redroot sage) is the source of this 723-nucleotide long non-coding RNA. RefSeq lists it as uncharacterized. Lineage: Eukaryota; Viridiplantae; Streptophyta; Magnoliopsida; Lamiales; Lamiaceae. The record is from RefSeq and is a predicted model, not a curated record. The transcript has 3 exons.
CUUGUGUUUUCUAUAUUUAUAUAGAAUUACGAGUGCAAUGAAAGUGAGUAGAGGUUGAGAGGGCGAGUAACGAAGAGUAUGGGUAGUUAAUCGUUAAAACGAGACGAAACGAGAUAUUUAACGACUAACGGGUUAAUAUCCUAAAUAUCUAACCUACCCUACCCCUAACCACCCCCCCAACUGCCCACUAUCCCUCUAUCUCACCUAACUCACGCUGCACACACAACACACACACUAAUUUGUGCUGCACACACACUAAAACACAUUAGAAACACACACACUUCACGUUAACACCAUUUCUUUGGUGUUCAAGCUUUUGACCUCCGAUUUGAGCACCGAGACGAGCGCCGAUCAUCUUUUCGAUCACGUAUCUAAGUAGGUCCUUUUGGGAAGUAACGACUUGAGGGAGAGAGUGACGUUACUCAUUGAUACAGAGACACAACGAGGUUGAGCUGAUGUGAUGAUGGUGCUGCAAUGAGCGGAGUCUCCAGGGUUGUUAAUAAAUAGUUAACCUGUCUAGAAUAUGUCUUCAUACAUAUGUCUAGCUACUUUCCGCUGCAAGAUGUUGUUGAUGUUAUAGUAUGUUAUGUCAUACUUUGAGUCUUAAGAGAAUGGUUGCAUAUGAUGUAUAACUUGAUUAAUGAUAUUAAUUAACUUUUAUGCAGUCUUUCAUAGACUGUUUUCAAUUGAGUAUUAAUGAAUAAAAAUGACGAGUUUUAUUAA